CAUACCACCCUGAACGCGCCCGAUCUCGUCUGAUCUCGGAAGCUAAGCAGGGUCGGGCCUGGUUAGUACUUGGAUGGGACACCAUCCUAAUAGAUGGUA
RNAcentral lists this ribosomal RNA (99 nucleotides) under Mustela putorius furo (domestic ferret). Lineage: Eukaryota; Metazoa; Chordata; Mammalia; Carnivora; Mustelidae. The record is from RNAcentral.